RNAcentral lists this ribosomal RNA (245 nucleotides) under uncultured bacterium. Its description in RNAcentral is "partial 16S ribosomal RNA". It matches the Rfam family "Bacterial small subunit ribosomal RNA", at positions 116 to 354 of the family's 1533-position model. The record is from RNAcentral.
CGUAGGGAACCUGCCCAUGCGGCCGGGACAACUUCCGGAAACGGAUGCUGAUACCGGAUAAGGAAAGCGAAGGCAUCUUUGCUUUGUUAAAGGAGCUGCAAGGCUCCGCGCAUGGAUGGACCUGCGGUGCAUUAGCUGAUUGGUGAGGUAAAGGCUCACCAAGGCGACGAUGCAUAGCCGGCCUGAGAGGGCGAACGGCCACGCUGGGACUGAGACACGGCCCAGACUCCUACGGGAGGCAGCAG